RNAcentral lists this ribosomal RNA (274 nucleotides) under uncultured bacterium. Its description in RNAcentral is "partial 16S ribosomal RNA". It matches the Rfam family "Bacterial small subunit ribosomal RNA", at positions 523 to 796 of the family's 1533-position model. The record is from RNAcentral.
AUACGGAGGGCGCAAGCGUUGUUCGGAAUUACUGGGCGUAAAGCGCGUGUAGGCGGUCUGGAAAGUCGGGUGUGAAAGCCCCGGGCCUAACCCGGGAAUUGCAUCCGAAACUUCCAAACUGGAGUCCUGGAGAGGAAGGCAGAAUUCCCAGUGUAGGGGUGAAAUCCGUAGAUAUUGGGAGGAAUACCAGUGGCGAAGGCGGCCUUCUGGACGGUGACUGACGCUGAGACGCGAAAGCGUGGGGAGCAAACAGGAUUAGAUACCCCGGUAGUCC